CAGGGUAAGUGCUCAAUAAAGAACUGACUGGAACAGUCAAACCUGGGAAGCCAAAGGGAACAUUCUGUAGUCAUGUGUAGCCCUUCAGAGCUCUGCCACACCAGUUGGUCCAAUCUGGACAGAAAAACAGAGAUACUUACUAGGACCAUGACCCAAUUCUCCCAGCUCCUCAUACAAAGUUAUAAAAUAUGUAUCUUCUUCAUGAAAAUUAAAAGCUUGUGCUUCAAAGGACACUUGAAAAGUAAACCCAACAAGAAUGGAAUACAAUAUAUGCAAAUCAUAUCUGAUAAGGUACUUUUAAAAUCCAGAAUAAAUAAUUAAUAGUUCAAUAUAAAGUAACAACCCAAUCUAAAAAUGGGCAAAGAAUAUGAAUAGAUGUUUCUCCAAAGAAGGUAUAUAAUCUGCCAAUAAGACACGAAAAGAUGCUCAAUAUCCUUACUCAUUAGGGAAAUGUGAAUCAAAAUCACUGAGAUACUACUUCCCCCCCAACUAGGAUUGCAAUAAGAAGGAGGAAAGAAACGACUGUAGAUUAGGAUGUGAAGAAAUUGGAACCACUGCAGAGCUAGCAGUAAUAUAAAAUGGUAUAGCCACCUUUGGAAAAUGGUUUGGAAAUUCUUCAAAAAUAUAAACAAACAGGGCCAGGUGUGAUGGUACAUGCCUAUAAUACCAGCAUCUAAGGCAGGAGGAUCACAAGUUCAAGGCCAGCCUCAGCAACUUAGUGACAACUUGUCUCAAAAUACAGCUCUGGGAACAUAACUCAGUGGUAAAUCACUCCUAGAUUCAAUUCCCAAUACCACACAAAAAAAUGUUAAAUAUGCUGGGAGGGCAGCUCAGUGGUUCAACAUGUGCUUAUUAGCAUGCACAUUUGUAGCCCUGAGUUCAAUUCCUACAUUAAAAAAAAAAAAAAGUUAAACACGGUGUUACCAUAUGAACUAGAAAUUACAUUUCUAGAUAUACCCAAAAGAAUUUCAAACAUGUCUACACAAAAAUGUUCACAGCAGCACUACCCAUAAGAGGGUCACCAAUU
This 1027-nucleotide long non-coding RNA is filed under the name Marmota monax (woodchuck). Lineage: Eukaryota; Metazoa; Chordata; Mammalia; Rodentia; Sciuridae. The record is from RNAcentral.